Molecule: long non-coding RNA, 894 nt
Organism: Cloeon dipterum
Lineage: Eukaryota; Metazoa; Arthropoda; Insecta; Ephemeroptera; Baetidae
Exons: 4
Source: RefSeq, a predicted model, not a curated record
UUGGAGGCCGUCGUGUACCGAGGUCAAGCUACAAGAUUAACACUGCUCGCGCCGCCGCUGCCGCCGCCGCCGCGGCUAUUAUGUGAGGCUAGCAGCGGCAGCAGCCGUCAGGGUCAGGCAGGAAGGGAAGGUUAGGGCUGAGAAAGGUCGCCUGCCCGCCCGCCCGCCGGCCCACCUCGCUCCUCAGGGCAGCUAGACGAAUCAGAGACAUCGAUGGCCGCAAUCCGCCUAAUUUUCUUGAGCAGGCAAAAAAGGCUUUUGAUUGGCACAGCGACCCUGAGCAGUUUGCGAAAAUAAUAAUGACGGCAGGCUGAAACGCAGCAGAGGGCCCAUCAAAUAAUGAAAGUGAAAUCACGACCGAAAUUUUCGUCUCGUCGGAGAAACUUUUUGCCAGCAGACUGAUGAGAUUUUCGUGGACACCGAAAACGACACCAUUCUCUUUCCCAUGAUGAAAAAUGCCCCAGAGCACUAAAACACGUUUUCGCAGGCGCAUAGAUAGAGAAGCCGGCGAGGAAGGUGAAACCAAAAAGACGCUAAUUGAAUUUCGGCCUUGACUUUCCGCCAAAAUGUUUUCGCCGCCUCGUCAUUGCGUACGCACCGCGAGCACCCGUGGCCCAUGACCUAAAUUUUUUUGUUAAUGUGGCGACCCUCAAAAUGAGCAGCAGCCUUGAUCGUGCAGCGAUGGUGUAAAACACACACGAACCAACGAACGAGCCUAGGCCAGCCACUUUGUUCUCUCCAUUCUAGAAGCAGAACCUCAGAAAGACAUCAACAUUUUGCGUUUUACGCGUUCCGAGUGAAAAAUAAAAUGGCUUUGCUACCGAGUGGAGGGGCAAUGUUUUUGAGAAUAUCUUUUUUCUGCAGACAGAAAUUGUAAACUCUGACAAAAUUAAA